AGUCUGGUGCCAGCAGCCGCGGUAAUUCCAGCUCCAUUAGUGUAUAUUUAAGUUGUUGCGGUUAAAACGUUCGUAGUCUAAUUUCGGGCGGUUUCGCUAGAGCGUCUGGCAGAUGCUGUGACCUUUGGCGUCCGUCUUUUCUCCUUUAUGCGACCCCGCGCUAUUAACUUAGUGUGGGUACUCGUUAAAGGUCGUUCACCUUGAACAAAUCAGAGCGUUCAAAGCAGGCCACAUUGGCCUUUGAAUGUUUAUGCAUGGGAUGAUGGAAUAGGGCUCAGGUCCUAUUUUGUUGGUUUCUAGGAACUGAGUAAUGAUUAAUAGGAGCGGUUGGGGGUAUCGGUACUGUGGCGUUAGAGGUGAAAUUCUUGGAUCGCCGCAUGACCAACUUCUGCGAAAGCAUUUACCAAGCACGUCUCCAUUGAUCAAGAACGAAAGUUGAGGGAUCGAAGAUGAUCAGAUACCGUCGUAGUCUCAACCAUAAACGAUGCCGACCGAGGAUGUGCGAGAGUUUAUUCAAUGACCUCGUGCGAACUCCAUGAGAAAUCCGAGUUUUUGGGUUCCGGGGGGAGUAUGGUCGCAAGGCUGAAACUUAAAGGAAUUGACGGAAAGGCACCACAAGGAGUGGAGCUUGCGGCUUAGUUUGACCCAACACGGGAAAACUUACCAGGGCCGGACAAGAGAAGGAUUGACAGAUUGAGAGCUCUUUCUUGAUUCUUUGGGUGGUGGUGCAUGGCCGUUCUUAGUUGGUGGAGUGAUUUGUCUGGUUAAUUCCGUUAACGAACGAGACCUUAACCUGCUAAAUAGUCACGUUAGCCUUCUGAUAUGCUGUGAAGCCCGCGCAGCGGCGGGCCCUAACGGGCGUGUCCUGGGCGGGCGGAUCAGUUGAUGAGCUGACGGCAGUACUUCUUAGAGGGACUUCUGGCUUCAAGACAGAGGAAGUUUGAGGCAAUAACAGGUCUGUAAUGCCCUUAGAUGUCCUGGGCUGCACGCGUGCUACAAUGCAAGAUUCAGCAUGUUUCUCCUUCCGCGACAGCGGUCGGUAAUCCUUGAAGGUCUUGCGUGUUUGGGAUUGACUCUUGAAAUUUUGGGUCAUGAACGAGGAAUUCCUAGUAAGGCCAACUCAACAGGUUGGCUUGACUGCGUCCCUGCCUUUUGUACACACCGCCCGUCGCUCCUACUGAUGGUUACCUCGACAAGGACUUGGGAGAGCGGUGCAUCGCCAUGG
This 1225-nucleotide ribosomal RNA is filed under the name metagenome. RNAcentral's name for it is "SSU rRNA". It matches the Rfam family "Eukaryotic small subunit ribosomal RNA", at positions 558 to 1733 of the family's 1831-position model. The record is from RNAcentral.